AACGAACGCUGGCGGCAUGCCUAACACAUGCAAGUCGAACGAGACCUUCGGGUCUAGUGGCGCACGGGUGCGUAACGCGUGGGAACCUGCCCUUAGGUUCGGAAUCACUCCCCGAAAGGGGUGCUAAUACCGGAUAAGGUCUUCGGACCUAAGAUUUAUCGCCUUUGGCUGGGCCCGCGUUGGCUUAGCCAGUUGGUAGGGUAAAAGCCUACCAAGGCGACGAUCCAUAGCUGGUCGGAGAGGAUGAUCAGCCACACUGGGACUGAGACACGGCCCAGACUCCUACGGGAGGCAGCAGUGGGGAAUAUUAGACAAUGGGCGAAAGCCUGAUCCAGCAAUGCCGCGUGAGUGAUGAAGGCCUUAGGGUUGUAAAGCUCUUUUACCCGGGAUGAUAAUGACAGUACCGGGAGAAUAAGCUCCGGCUAACUCCGUG
RNAcentral lists this ribosomal RNA (433 nucleotides) under uncultured bacterium. Its description in RNAcentral is "partial 16S ribosomal RNA". It matches the Rfam family "Bacterial small subunit ribosomal RNA", at positions 29 to 507 of the family's 1533-position model. The record is from RNAcentral.